GGAUUUGCCAUAUUCAAGGCAGUAAUUUAAAUUCCAGCUGGGCAUGGUGGUGCACACCUAUGAUCCCAGUGUCUCGACAGGCUGGGGAGGAGGAGGAUCGUGAGUUCAAAGCCAGCCUCAGCAACUUAGCAAGACUCUGUCCUAAAUAAAAUAUAUAAAAGGGCUCGGUAUAUCAUUCAGUGGUUGAGUACCCCUGGUUCAAUCCCCGGUCCCCAAAAGAAAUAAAUUCCAGUUCCUCUCCUUUCCUGUUGAUUUUUGUGGAGGUGCCAGGAGAGGUUGCGGGGGAGGGCCCAUUAGGAUGCUUGGGUGGGGAGUGAGAUCUGUGUGCAGCAGGGAGCCGCGGGAGCCACUGUCCAUGUGCUGGUAGGUGUGUGCCCUGUGGCAUUUGGACAGGGGACACUGAGGUGGCGAUGAACAACCUCCCCAAAUCUUGCAUUCAGCCAGCCUCCUCUGUAGCUGCUGCUUUGGUCACAUGACGAGGGCCUCACAGUGCUCACAGGAACAGUGUCACUCUCUGGGUCACAACUCCAGGGAAGAGAUGCUUCUUCACAUGGAGCUGGGCUUGUGGUGGCUGCAGACCAUCCUCCUCCUGGUCGGGACGGCGCACUGUCUAGCGCUCUGUCUUCUUCCUGGUCUGGAUGGCGCAUCUGUCUUCUUCCUGGUCUGGAUGGCGCACAGUCUAGCGCUCUGUCUUCCUCUUGGUCUAGAUGGCGCACAGUCUAUUACUCUGUCUUCCUCUUGGUCUGGAUGGCACACAGUCUAGUGCUCUGUCUUCUUCCUGGUCUGGAUGGCGCACAGUCUAGUGCUCUGUCUUCCUCUUGGUCUGGAUGGUGCACAGUCUAGCACUCUGUCUUCUUCCUGGUCUGCAUGGCGCACAGUCUAGCACUCUGUCUUUCUCUUGGUCUGGAUGGCACACAGUCUAGUGCUCUGUCUUCCUCUUGGUCUGGAUGGCGCACAGUCUAGUGCUCUAACUUCCGCUUGGUCUGGAUGGCACACAGUCUAGCACUCUGUCUUUCUCUUGGUCUGGAUGGCGCACAGUCUAGUGCUCUGUCUUCCUCUUGGUCUGGAUGGCGCACAGUCUAGUGCUCUGUCUUCCUCCUGGUCUGGAUGGCACACAGUCUAGCUCUCUGUCGUCUUCCUGGUCUGGAAGGCACACAGUCUAGUGCUCUGUCUUCCUCUUGGUCUGGAUGGCACACAGUCUAGCUCUCUGUCGUCUUCCUGGUCUGGAUGGAGCACAGUCUAGUGCUCUGUCUUCCUCUUGGUCUGGAUGGUGCACAGUCUAUUUCUUUGUCUUUCUCUUGGUCUGGAUGGCACACAGUCUAGAGCUCUGUCUUCUUCCUGGUCUGGAUGGCACACAGUCUAGAGCUCUGUCUUCUUCCUGGUCUGGAUGACGCACAGUCUAGUGCUCUGUCUUCCUCCUGGUCUGGAUGGCACACAGUCUAGUGCUCUGUCUUCCUCCUGGUCUGGAUGGCACACAGUCUAGAGCUCUGUCUUUCUCUUGGUCUGGAUGGCACACAGUCUAGAGCUCUGUCUUCUUCCUGGUCUGGAUGGCGCACAGUCUAGAGCUCUGUCUUCCUCUUGGUCUGGAUGGCACAUAGUCUAGCUCUCUGUCUUCUUCCUGGUCUGGAUGGCACACAGUCUAGCGCUCUGUCUUCUUCCUGGACUGGAUGGCGCACAGUCUAGUGCUCUGUCUUCUUCCUGGUCUGGAUGGCGCACAGUCUAGCGCUCUGUCUUUCUCUUGGUCUGGAUGUCGCAUAGUCUAUCACUCUGUUGUUGAGAAUUCAGACUCCAUGGGGUCCUGCCUGCAGCUACACCAUGCCCUGAGCCCUGCGCAGGGGGACCAGCUGCUGCCAGGGCCCUGCCAAUGUGUGAUAGGCAGUCCAUCUCUCCUUGGCUUGUGACGUCUGGGUUCUCUGGGAGGAGGCAGCAGUGUGCUCGUGAGCAGCUUCAACAACAGUGGGUUGUUGGAGGCCUGCCUGAGUCUGCCCUGCUGGGGAGAAGUGGCAUCCCAGUUCUCCAUCCCAUGGUGCCUAGUUGGUCUCCCUAUGUCUCACACCCACGCUGGGUUGCGUGCUGGACCCUGCAUCCCAGCCUGCCUCAAGGGUCAAGAGUGGACUUUGUAGUGAACCACCUUUUUCCACUGCCUCCACAUUCAGUUUUCAGGGCA
This 2167-nucleotide long non-coding RNA is filed under the name Marmota monax (woodchuck). Lineage: Eukaryota; Metazoa; Chordata; Mammalia; Rodentia; Sciuridae. The record is from RNAcentral.